UUUAUUAGGUAAUUUGGGCGUAUUUAUUCAAGCAAAAUCGAGGCUGAUGGAUACGCUUGUGACGUGAAAUUUGUGAAUCGAUUUCAAGGCUUUUUCUGUUUCCGAUUUAAUUUUCUCUGAGGAAUAGCCUGGUGUUAUGCUUAAAGCUGAAAUUGGAGAAUCGGGGAUUCUAGUGAUUGGGGUUUUCAUUGCCUUUGUUUUUUGGACUAUUGGGACUAUUAUGAGGAAUAGCAGUGAUGGGCAGCAUCAGCAGAAGAAGAAUUCGCAGGGGCG
Molecule: unclassified non-coding RNA, 273 nt
Filed under: Hevea brasiliensis (rubber tree)
Lineage: Eukaryota; Viridiplantae; Streptophyta; Magnoliopsida; Malpighiales; Euphorbiaceae
Source: RNAcentral